UACGUAGGGCGCAAGCGUUGUCCGGAAUUAUUGGGCGUAAAGAGCUCGUAGGCGGCUUGUCACGUCGGGUGUGAAAGCCCGGGGCUUAACCCCGGGUCUGCAUUCGAUACGGGCUGGCUAGAGUGUGGUAGGGGAGAUCGGAAUUCCUGGUGUAGCGGUGGAAUGCGCAGAUAUCAGGAGGAACACCGAUGGCGAAGGCAGUUCUCUGGGCCGUAACUGACGCUGAGGAGCGAAAGCGUGGGGAGCGAACAGG
This 253-nucleotide ribosomal RNA is filed under the name uncultured bacterium. RNAcentral's name for it is "partial 16S ribosomal RNA". It matches the Rfam family "Bacterial small subunit ribosomal RNA", at positions 524 to 776 of the family's 1533-position model. The record is from RNAcentral.